RNAcentral lists this long non-coding RNA (1285 nucleotides) under Equus caballus (horse). RNAcentral describes it as "lncRNA (ENSECAG00000038783.3)". The record is from RNAcentral. Lineage: Eukaryota; Metazoa; Chordata; Mammalia; Perissodactyla; Equidae.
AUAAAAAUGAAAUUUAAAGAAAUAACCUUUCUCUUAGACGUAAACAUGGUUGUAUCAGAUAUACGUAUAAUACUGAGGAUGUCUCCAAGAACUCAGAAUAAUAAAAAAAGAUGGGAAAUGGAAAAGAAAAUACAUAAAUCCAUCCGGGAGGAAUAACCACAAAGAAAGAGUGGAGAAAAUGGGCAUGAGGAAUUCCUUCCAGAGCUAAUGCUGGAACAUUUGCCAUAACUGAGGCCCGAGCUCCCGGAUCCAGAGUCCCUGCCGAGUGCCCUGUGACAGCAACAAUGACUUUAUUAUGACUACUGGGACAUUUGGGCACCAGGACACAAAGAUCCCACAAGCUCCAGGAGAGCAGAGUCGAUGGCACACGAGGUGCGGAGGGUGGUCACACGGGCUCCGGUCCAGACCAUCCGUCCUGGUUUUUCAAUUCUCCUGUGCAUCUCCCUGGCUUGGGCGGCUCCUUGUGACUGUGCCCGAGGCCUCUGUCACAGGCCUGCCAUCACCUGAGAUGGGACAGCCCCCCCUUGAGGAAAGCUGGGGUUAUAAGGAGGCUCGCUCCUGAUUAUUUUCACCUGGAUCAAGUGCCUAAAAUCAGGGGUUCAGGAAUGAGAAGACGCUGGUUUGAAGGUGGAAAAUUCGUCAGUUAGCUUCAAGUCCUAAUCAGCCUCAGAGAUCUUGGUUUAGGAAAACCCCGCACUGAUUUGCUGUCUCCACCACUCUCCCGGGCUCUCGGGAGCCCCCUUGGACUGUCAGGUGUGUGGGGACAUCCGAAGGACACUGAGGGGCUCUCAAAUGGAGUCAGAUUGCCAUUCAGACCACUGGCAUGGAUCUGCUGGGCAGAACGAUUCAGUCGCAUGUCAGAUGCACAUGCGAGGAGGAGCCCACGCCUGUGCACGACCGAGCGGUCAGCGCUGGAGCAGGCCCUCUGCCGUGAGGCCGGCACACAGGGCCCUGGCUUGCAGACCACUGCAUCCUGGUGGCCGCCUCUUCAGUGAGUCACAGGACACUCCCUGAUCCCAUACCUCAGUUUCCCCCCUGUAAAUAUGAGGGCAGACUUUUAAGCUGACAGAAAAUACAAAGUAUCACAGGACGGGAGGAAGUGUGGCUUGUGACCCAGCAGACUCAUGGCCUGUGACUCUUCCUGACUAAGUCGCUACGGCUUCCGCAGUGCGAACCUGGGACCUCCAAUCUGGCGUGGUUGCUUUUGAUUUUUUGUCUGUAAUUUUCCAGGGAGAUUUGUAUCCAUUAAACUCACUGGGAGCAAGGACAGUCACUCACGUACAGC